CUUCUCUACACGUGGCCACUGCGUCCAUGUCUGAGAGGGGAUGGAUGUAGUGCAGGGAAGGAAUAUUACUGCUCUGGCACCACAGCCAAAACUUUAAAAGCAAAUUCAAGAUUAUAAUUAAUGAAAGUACAAAUCUGACACAUUGCUGCUCCGUUUAGAGCUAAAGCAAUGUAAGACAUUGUGAGGAUGCACAACGUUCAGGGAAAACAAAGCUAGCUGGAAAACAGCCUGUGGGAUUUCAGCUUUCAGAAAAUGUGAGAAUGUCUGUGUACAGUGAUAGGACAAGGGGGAAUGGUUCUAAACUGAGACAGGGGAGGUUUAGGUUGGAUAUUAGGAGGAAGUUUUUCACCCGGGGGGUGGUGACGCACUGAACAGGUUGCCCAAGGAGGCUGUGGGUGCCCCAUCCCUGCAG
RNAcentral lists this long non-coding RNA (412 nucleotides) under Gallus gallus (chicken). RNAcentral's name for it is "lncRNA (ENSGALG00010002769.1)". Lineage: Eukaryota; Metazoa; Chordata; Aves; Galliformes; Phasianidae. The record is from RNAcentral.